Molecule: long non-coding RNA, 5165 nt
Organism: Gasterosteus aculeatus aculeatus (three-spined stickleback)
Lineage: Eukaryota; Metazoa; Chordata; Actinopteri; Perciformes; Gasterosteidae
Source: Ensembl
GGAUUUCCCAACUUAAACAAGUUUUGUUGUAGUUAACAAGUGUAAAGAGGAUGACGAGGACGGGUUUUAUUGUUCUCUAAAGUAAAAAAUGUUAAUAAUUUUCUCGUCUUCACCUGCACGCAGCUUAAGCUCUCUCUCACACACACACACACACACACACACACACACACACACACACACACACCCACAACAAGAAAGCUGUUCUGAGUGAAACAUCUGCCAGACGCCUGAGGCAGUUCAACCGUUAUGUAAUGUGAUGUAAAAACAGACUUCCGACAAGUGGAAGCCCCCAAACUUUACAACACACAUCCCAACUUUGCUAUUUUGACAUUAAAUUCUGAAAAUAUUUCACAUUAUCAAAUGUACGAGGCAUACAAGGCAUAAGAUAUAUGUUCUGAGCAUCAGGAAAAUAAUUUCUAAUGCCUCUAAAUUGGCCGGCGUGUGGCCUGACAGAGCACAAUGUGGAGGACCAGGACAAAGCACGACUACAAACAGGUCAAUGAGGCGCACUCUGCGCCGCGUUCUUUCAAUAAUUCAGCAGGGAAGCUGUGUUUUGUGUUACGUUGUUCACUUCCUCCGUGAUUAUCGUCGAACUAUCCACACUAAAAGGCAUGAAAGCUGUGUGAUCUUGAUAUUUAAGAGACCAAUCAUUUUGCCGAUUAAUGCAGAAAAUAAUUGCCAGAUCAAUUGAUGCAGCAAAUAACUGUUGGUUGCAGAUGCCCAGGCAGACAAGGAAGUGAUUACUUACCCUGGAUAUUGUGGAUAUGUGGGUUCAGCAGAGACGUUUAGUGCUACUCGGGUGCACAACGCUCAACAGCCUUUUUUCAGUGCAAUGAAGCGGCAUCCAUUUGAGUGAGUCAAAGAAAGACGUGCCGCGUGUUUCACCGUGCAUCCUUCAGGGCGUGACCCUUCCACAGCCGGAUCUUAUCUGUUAUUAAUAUGGACGAGACAUUUAAACGCAUUUUCUUGCCUUUUUCUCUCCAGCGAGCGCAAAAACCCUUUGAUAUGGUUCCAUGGAAAGGGAAAGAAGAUAAUUGGGGAAGCCUUGCUAAUCCUGACUAUGGGGCUUUUCCUUUGUUAAUAUUCCCUCUGUGUGGGUCGUGGCGGACGACACGGAAAUGAAUCGCUGACCAAAAUAAAAAAAAUAACUAAAUGCAUGCAAUGUGUACGUGUUGUUGGCGCGGUAGUUGAGACAUGCGUGGCUUUAACCCUCACGUCCCACUGGCACUUUUUAACACAGCCUCCCCACUGACAUUCAGUGAUAUUUCCAUCUUCUUAAUUAUGUGACAACGAGCAGGUUUGCGACAUUAAAGCCAGCUGCGUCUUUUGCGCUGAAGCAUUUCGUCAUCGUUGGCUCUUAAUCCUCGUUGUCCAGCAGUCAGAAGGACGGUGCAAGUUCAUUUCACAGGACGCGAUAAUCAACGUGGCUGCUUCGUACCGCUCUGCCGGAGGGUUGCGCUGCACCUUCUGUCUGUGUUUUGUUUGUUUGUGCGGGUGAUGGGUGGGGGACUGAUUAGGCAGCGGUGAAGAAGGAAAACUGGUGGAAAGCAGCUCCCUCUCUCCUCUUUUCUCGCCGCGGGGUCGGCGGUUCUGCCGAGCGGAUCGGCCUGAUAGUAGCUCACAGCCUGGAGGCCGUCUGGGUGGUUGUAGGGGUGAGAAGCUCGUUUCGUUUCUCCUGUUUGGUGCCUGGGAGAUGAAUGAGCUGCCUGCUGAUGCGUGAUGACGCACAUUGUCAGCAGGUUGUCAGGCGUCUACUUCACUAAAGAAGAUGGAAAUGGGAGCCGGGUGCCUGCGGUCUUCAGGGGUCUCUCCAAACCUUUUCCCAGGAAACCAGGAGCUCCUUUGGUGAGAAGUUCUUUGAUGCCGACUGCAGUCGUAUAAUGUCAUCUCCAAUUACCUCUGAAAUCCAUCUGUACUCCCUCCAUCGCCCCACAGCCGCCACCUGUGUUUGUCAGCUAAAAUCCCGUCGCUUAAGCAACUGUAGAGGAGCUCUCAGAUCAUGUAGCACAACAUCGUAGUUGAAGCACUGCUUCUUAGCGUUUAACGUGACCUUCUUAAAGGAGUAAAUCUUGAAUAAAACAAACUGUGCUGUGAGCCUAUAAGGUGUGCAGAGUUGAGCCCAACGUUUUCAACUCCACGUAAGAACUGCACAUGAGCUGAAGAAGCGCCGUCCCCCAGAAUGCACCGCUCCGUUUUCAAUCAAUCACUUUUGUUGAAUGAAAUAUUGUUUCUCGUCACGAGCUGGAAACAGAUGUGUUACAGCUAAUGAACAUUUAAUGAAAAGGAUCAUCUGUGAAGCCUCUGUUAAUGAUGAAAUACAACCACCCCUUUGCCCCCCCCUCUCCCCCCACCACCACAAAAUCCAAACGUCGUCAAUCAAUACAAUCAAUCAAUCGACCUCAUAUUGUUUUACAGCGUUUCUCUUCAUCUUUCAAUCUCUCCCCUAACUUCCACGGAAUCUUAUGAGAAAGGAGGGAAAGUUACAAUCUCUCACCUCGAUCUGUCCGUUGACGUUAAUCCCCCGUUAAAUUGAGUAAGUGUGAUAUUUCCCGCCUGAGACCCCGACGGCCCAUUAAACCUGUCAGAUGCACAUUUCCUCGCGCGGUUUCCUGCCUUCGUCACGGGAAGCAGGACGUUCACAGUCGGCUUACAGUUGUAGAUGGUUGUGGCGGAGGGGUCUGUACAAAUAACUGCAUCAUUACGGGAAGGUGCUGUCUGCAAGGGGGAAAUAGACUUGAGUUGUUCCUCCUCCCACUUCUUCUUCUGACUCUCCAGAAGAGAAAAUAAAACCAACAGACUGUAGAUUGUGAGGCACGACUGGACCUGGCUUCUGCACUGAACCAUUUUUCCAAGGCGUAUGCCAGGAUUUAACAUCACGUUGGCCGGCAUAAACCCGCAUGAUAAGAACAAGAAAAUACUUAAACAGAACUGAAAUGGAGAUAGUGAAGUUUAAAUUCCAGCUAAAUAGAAAAAAUAAUUGGCUAUAGAAAUAUGAGUUUCAGUUAUUGAAAAAGGUGCCGUCCUCGUUAAUAACGGAAAGUGACCACUCGGUCCAGCCCUGUUUUAUAUUAAUGACUUAUGAACAGAACGUCACUGAGCGUCAUCCAAAGCAGCGAGGAGAUGAACCAAAGACUCUACGGAGGCUUCAUCUUCCCUUUUACCUUUUACAUGAAGUCGGUUUCCGUAGUUUUCCCCUGAAAGUUCAAAACUGUGUCACAAAGUCUCCUCGCUGGGAGUCCGACCCCCUCAGGGGCCACUGGUCAGGUAAAAGACUGCUGCUAUCGGCUUCAGCUUGUGUCAAGCUCUGCAUUCAAUUACAAAAAUCGAGAGGGAAUCCAAUGUAUUUUAAGUCAUUAAAAAAGACAAAAUAACAACCGGCUUCUGCCUCUUAUCCAUGCGCCAUUAACUUUGUAUCUACUCUGCUCGCCGCCCAAGGAAUCUUAUCUAACGCCCUUCGGCACAAUGUUCAGGAUUUGCAUUCUCACUGUAAUCUGCAAACAUGGGGAACGCUAAUAAAUAUUCCUACAGCAGGAUCCCCGACCGGCCUUAUUCAGUUGCUCCAAAGAAUAUAUUUUUCUUCUUCCUGGUUGAAUGCCAUUUUCUUGGAGCGGUACCAAUAAACUGGCCUUGUGGAGAGGGCAGAAAUACAGUUUAUUUGUUGACGACAGAUAUGAGGUUUCACUCCCCUCCUCGAGCGAGACAUUAAUCUAACGGACACAAUAAGGUCGGAGCUGGAGAUCAUUAGCAGAUCUCCCAGAGUGUCAAAUUUACCCAAGGAAAUGUUCAUCUCAGAGGGCGACUCGGCCGCACUGAGCUUCUCUUCUGAUGAGGCACAUUUGUACCCUGUUGCGGCUGGCAGGGGACUAAUAUCUCCUUCCUGGCGCCGCUGCUUCCACAUCUUUACGAGGUCUUCAGCCUUCGAAGGCAACAUCCCACUGAACCGACAAUUACCUGCUAAAGCACGUUGGCUAAUUUGGAUCUGGGGACGAGGGGAAUUAUGCAGUAUUCUAACAGCACGCUGCAGUGUGCGUGAAGUGGUGGCUGCCAGCAUAAACAACACAACGCAGGCCUUCGUUAGCGCUGCAGAACAGACGCAGCUGCAUAUGUGUCAAUAUUUUACAAUAUAUUACAACAUGAAGUAACACCUGAAUAUCGCUUUUUCAUAUUUACAACACGAUGGGAUGCACAUCCUCAAAAGCAGAACGUGUAAUCGAUAUCCACAUGAAUGUUCACCAGCUGUUGCCCUCCUUCCUUCCUGACUGACGUCUAACUGAAGGUGGACGUGUCGAACGUUUUCAUGAAGCCAACUGAGGGAACGGCGCCGACAGGCGGGAGACGACGCACGCUUGUUCACAGAUUCAAGGGCCCGUGGUAGCCUUGGUCAUUCGUCAAUGUAAGAAUGUCUUCUUGGCUCAAGCCCACCUUCGUGGUCAUGUGGAAAUAUUGCUAUGUGGGUUUUGGCCUCAAUAAAACAUAAAGGUGUUUUCCAGAGAAGUUAGAGGUUUUCAUCUGUCCUGCUUUGGGGUUAUUCUUUAGCCUUGAUGUUGCCGGGCUAGCAGGUCUCUUUAAGUCUGUGAAGCAGGUGUGAAAGCUGCACCCGGAGCUGUGAAAUAAAAAUAAACCACAAAUAUCAAAGGAUUGUGUGUUUUGUAUGUAUGUGUAUCAUUUGAUUGAGUGAUUUCCGUGUCGAUCAGACCGCUGUCCUCGUGUCCUACCCUGAAUUCGCUGUGUAUUAAGUCCAUUUAACAGUGCGUGACAUCACGACCCCAAAGCAUCCUGCUUUAAUCCAACAUAACCCAGGGAACACCGCUAGCCAAGAUUUAUCUGUCCAGCCCGAUUACUGUUAGGAACUUACAGUCAAUUGCUUUGAAUCAGAUAUUGAGCAGUUUGUGACACCAGGGAACGUAAAUAUAGGCAAUAUAAGCAUCAUAGAUGUGCAUGAGCCGUUUCCAAAAACAUGGUGGACAGUUCUUUUUGUACGGCAAACUCGAUAUGUAAUAAAGUCUAAUUAUUAUUGUUCAUACUGUUUCCUUGCUGGUCUAUCUUGAAGCCCUUUUGGGAAAAUGUGGUGAAGAAAAUAAUCAUUUAAAUGAGUCAGAAAAUAAAUUUUGAAAUGUCAACAACCGGCAAAGUAACUUUUGUGUCAAUGCGAUUGAUCAGCAGCC